GGAUCUUUUAUCUAGGAUUUACUUUGUGAAAACUUAUGCCUUUUAGAGAUCUUAAAUUAAAUUUACAAUGCAUCUGGAAACAAGAAAUGGUGUUUUUCCUGACCACUAGAGAAGAAUGGGGGGCUCUCAGCCCCCUCGAGCCGCCGAUCCCCCUAAAACUACCUGUGAGGGACAUUGUUUUAACCUAUGUGAGGAACUGGAGUGGUUAUAUUGAGGAUGACCACAUAGACUACACUGGUCAAGUCCAGGCUCUACAACGACGACAAAUAGAGGAGAAAAAACUGAGCGAUAUUAAAUACAAGUAAGUUUCUUAGUGACGCCCCAAGGACAGACCUACGAGUGUCGAGGAUGGCAUGGAGCUGUUCCUGCACCUAAACACAGACCCGAGUGGUCCAACAACGUAUUGGUGAUAGCUCAACUAAACUGGAGAGUCGCUGAUGGAUAUUUUCGUCCCAUGAUCCAAGCUAUAUAUGAGCUCGUCAGAUUUGGUGUCAUGGUGGGCUAUAUUAAGAAGAGACACCAGUUUUUGGAAACCAAACCAUGGAGAUGCCCGAAAGUGAUUCCUAAACUACAGUAGAUUUUUAAUAAUUUAGGUACUGAUUGCUGAUUUUGUUCUAGUUUGGGUUGUUUAAUUCUUUGCUUAGCAAGAACGAAGUUACAUUUACAUACUGCUAUUUCAUGUACUCAAAGAGAAGGUAUAGAGGGAACAUGCUAAUGGGACGACUGUGCGGUUUCAAUUCUGGUAUGUUUUGUCUGAAAUUUACUUGUGAAAGGAGCAAAGAAGAGUCCGAGAGGCGAGCACUAUGCGGAAAUUCCUAUCGUACAAAGCAAAGGGUCUUUCUGAGCGUUGUUAUGUUACAUGAGGGCGAUGGAGGCGGUGUUAGAUUUUGCCCUAGACACCAGUGACUGGUGCUAGACACCAGUGACAAGCAUAGACACCAGUGAAUAGUGCUAUACACCACUUAAGCGUACCAUUGAAUGUUUCCUCUGCAUCUUACUUCACUAUGAUAUACCUUAUGACUAACUAAACCACAUAACGUACACUAAUUGUAACUGUUGUGCAAAUAUAUUUCUUAACAGUAAUAAGAGUACUUUAUUUAAGUAUUCUCUUUUUAUAACUAGAAUAGAAUCAAUAAUUCUUGUAUGCU
Molecule: RNA transcript, 1148 nt
Organism: Macrosteles quadrilineatus (aster leafhopper)
Lineage: Eukaryota; Metazoa; Arthropoda; Insecta; Hemiptera; Cicadellidae
Gene name: peptidoglycan-recognition protein LF-like
Exons: 4
Source: RefSeq, a predicted model, not a curated record